UACUACUUACAAGGAUGUUAAGUUUGCCUUCAAAAAGUGAUGAGACCUUAUUUAUAAGCUCCUCUCUUUGGGUUUUAGACACCACAUCACAGACUGAGCCAGUUACUUGGAAACCCUUCUUCUCCCACUGACUCAGGCAGUCAUUAAGGUCAGCUUCAUUUCGGGAACAAGUAUGCACAAUUGCACCCAGCCCUGCCAAUUCCUCCACUAUAGCAUACCUAAAUAAACACUUCACUAAUUUAGCAUAGAAUUGUAAAAAAUAAUUCAAACCCAUAAUUCUGAAACAGAAAAAAACAAGGGACAAUUGGACGGAUAAAGAGAAUAUUGUAUUGCGUGUUUAAGAAAAAUUGAAACUAAAAAAAAGAUUAACGUUCUUAAUUAUCCAACUUUAGAGAAGCUAACCCAAUUCCUUUGGUUCCACCAGUGACAAGAGCUGUCAUUCCACGAAGAGACCAUCUCCUCGCUCUGCUAUUCAUCUCUAUCUGCUCUCUAUUCUCCCUGUCUGCUCUCUGCAAAUACUUAGUGGUUUAUAUUUUAUAUUUCUAAUCGAUAAUGAUUAUAAGUCUUAUUUUGGUGGCCAGGGAAAAGUAAGCGUGCCAGCCGCCUACAAAUAGUUUCUCCUCAGCAACUUGCAACUUUUUCUUGUUUUUUUGGAAACUAGCAACUUGCAACUUUCAACUUUUUGUUUGCUUGUUUUGAUAUGGCAAAGUAUGCAAAUUGAUUGUUCUUCAAUUUGAAUUUGACUAAAUUAUAUUUCAUCCAAUCGUACAAUGUCAUUCAAUUACACACAACCUCCAAUCCAAUCGUUACAACCUCCAAUCCAAUCGUUACAAGUACAAUAAUUGAGGAUAAAUUUCAGAUUCAUAUUUCACACAACACGUUUGGAAUUCGAUUGCAUGCGUUGAUGAAUCACACAAUGGUGGCCAAAGAGAAGUUGAAAUGUCACCAAGUGCUUAUCUUUUAAAAGAUUAAUAAAAUACAACCUCUGAUUUGGUACUAAUGUCAUACAAUCGUUAGUCAAUCUGUCAAAUAAGUCAUUAGGUGAUGAUGUGACAAGUGCAGCUCACAUUUUGUUAACUUUUGAGUCCAAAUUUGUGCCCCAUGGUUAAAGCAAAUUAAAAGAAAAAAUAAUAAUUAUUAAUAAUGUAAAAAUUAGAAAUCAUUUUUUUUUUAAAGGAGUACACUAUUCAUUAAUAACUAGAACAACGUACAAAUAGGGAAAAUGUGCUAACAGAGGGCCUAUAUAAAAACCUUACCGGUAAGUAACCCAAAUAAUGUAAAAAGAGUAUGUCUCGCAUAAAAUAAUAAGGACUAAAUUCCAAACAACCAAAUGUUAACUGUGAACACCAUCCUCCAACAAGAGAUCAAAAAUUAAAUCAGGAGGUCCCUCAAACCACGAAACCGGAUGAUCCAAAGUUAAAUUGAAUCUAGCUAGUCGGUGAGCCACCGAGUUUGCAUUUCAUCGUACAAAGCCUGCUUUCCACGAUUUAAAGGACUGCAUAAUCCUCCUGGUGUCUUCCAAUAAUAACGCAAACGGUACAUGGUUAGCCAUUGCAUUGUUUUGGAUUGCAGCAACUACUAGCAGCGCAUCACCUUCCAAUAUAACCUGGUCAGCACGCCACUAAAGUGCAAAAACAGCAGCUUCCCGUGCUGCAGCAACUUCCGCCUGCAUCGAAUCUGGCCUUGAGCUUCAUUACAAACCUUAAUAGCAUGAAUCUGGCCUUGAGCUUCCCAAUCAUCCAACAAAGCCGAGAGGCCUUCUGCACAUAUUACAAACAAGAACGGAGACAAUGGAUCCCCUUGCCGAAUCCCUCGUUUUGGGUGUACGAAUCCCACAGGAUCCCCAUUAAACUUGAAAGAAUAAGUCACAGUAGUAACACACAUCAUAAUCCAAUUAAUCCAUUCCUCAGCAAACCCCAAAUGUCUCAUCAUUUGCUCAAGGGAAGACCAUUCAAUACGAUCAUAUGCUUUAUUGAUAUCUAGCUUCAAAGCCAUCACACCCUUCCAACCGCUAUUCUUUGUUUUCAUAGCAUGAACAAUUUCCGAAGCCACCAAACAAUUAUUGGAAAUUAACUGACCCGAGAUGAACCCACUUUGGGAAGGCGAAAUAAUGUCAGGUAACACCAACUUCAACCUGUUCAUGAGAACUUUGGAGCAUAUCUAUAUAUAACAUUACAUAAACUGAUUGAGCGAAGUUGAGACAUGAAAGUAGGGUCCAUUUUCUUAGGAAUAAGAGUAACGUGCGUAAAAUUAAUUUUGCUCAUCAUACUUCCUGAAGAAAGGAGAGAACGAACCCCCUCAUAGAUGUCAUGACCAACGAUAGGCCAAUGUUUUUGGUAGAAUCCCAGAGUCAUCCCAUCUGGUCCAGGCGCCUUAAUGGGGUGCAUUUGAAAAAGAGCAUUCUUGUUCUCGUCAUCAGAAAACGGUACCAAGAACCCUUGAUUCAUCUCAGCCAUCACCUUUGGAGAAACCGUGCGAAGAACAGCAGACGCAUCAACCUGACCCGUGGAAUCAAACAACUUCUGAAAAUAAUUAACUAUUACCGCAGCCAUGCCAUCCUUGCUUUCCUGCCACUGCCCAUCGUCAUCAAACAAACCAUACAAACCAUUACUUCGCAACCGCCUAGAAGCCUUUUGAUGAAAAAAUCUUGUGUUUUGCAAUAUCAUUUAAUAUUUUAUCUAAAAAUUAAAGAAAAAAAAGAAAGAAAAUUUGAAACGCAGAUCUUCAUCUUCCUGUCCACCCAAUGCAGGUGACGAUCCCCCUCCCUGCAAUCAUCAAACCAAAAAGCUCCGCCGAAAUCAAACAAUCACAAUCAUCAAACCACCACCACCGUCAGAUUCCCAUGUGACCAUGAUAAUUAAGCAGUGCGAUUAUUUCAUUUAGCUUUACAUUAUUACCUGUUUAAUCUUUUACAAACAUAUUAAUUUCUUAUCCUCUAAUUGGGCAAUUUACUGUUAAAAAGUUAUGUCCUUACUGGCUGUUUUAGCCAAGGUUCUAAAAAACGCUAGGCGCUAGUCGGGCGACGAGCCAGUGCCUAGGCGGCUUAGGUGGAUUUAGGUAAAUUUCUUAUAUAUCUUGUAGAUAAGUGCAUAUUGACACAUAAAAAAUUAUAUUUGUAUGAAAUUCAUGGAUAAGAUAAUAAAAGAAUGAUAAAAUAUAAAAAGAAUAUUUAGUUUUUAAAUAAUUAGUAUUUAAUUUUUAAAUAAUAAAUAUUUAAAAACCCCACCAAGUGGGUUUGGUAGUUCAUAAACAUUUAAAAAUCAAAUGGUCGUUCAUAAAAUCCACGUGUGAGAGGUUUGACACCUCCCUUCCACCUCCACUUUCUCACAUCAGGUAGGAUUCAAAAGGUGGAGCUAGUUAUGCCUUGGAAAGCGAUCUCACAUUAUUUUUUUUGGGUUUUCUUUUCCUCUUCUGCCUUGGAAAGAGGAAAGCCCCAUUAAUGUUUUGAAAUUUUUUACUUCUUCUCUUCUUCUCCUUCUCUGAUUACUCUAUUUUUCCAUUUCCUCUUCUUCUGUUGCUCUGUAAAUUUCCACAGUAGCCUUUCUCGCUUCUUCUCCGAGCUUCUUUCUGCUUCCAAGGCGCUCACUCUGUCUCUCUCUCUUCUAGCUGCCAAGUAACUUCCAGUUCUGCCCCCAUCAACUCUAUUAAUUCCACCAUGAAACUUUGCACAUUCUGCAACUCCAUCCAAAAUCCAUCUCUAAAGUUCCAAUCUUUUCUCUUAAUCUUCUCAGCUCCACCACUCAUUCUACCCCUCAGAACCCAACAAAUUACAUAUGGGUCCCUCCCAAAGUCCUCAAACAAGCUUCCUUUCCACCACAAUGUCACCCUCACAGUCACCGUCGCAGUCGGAACACCGCCGCAGAAUGUUUCGAUGGUCAUCGACCCCAGAAGCGAGCUUUCCUGGCUUCACAGCAACAAAACCCGGGACUAUAACAAGACAUUCGAUCCGACCCAAUCCACCUCCUACUCCCCCGUCCCAUGCUUCUCAUCCACUUGCACGAACCGGACAAACCUUGCCAAUUUAUGAAACGAUUUUGAGUUAAUCGCGGCGAAGCACCGCCGCCUAGCGCCCAGGCACCGCCUAGGCGGCCGCCUCAACCGUUUUUUAGAACACUGAUUUUAGCUCACUCCUCUUUUGUUUUGCAGGUUUACAAAUAGACAAUCAAAAUGGUAGAUGGAAUGAGAUUGAAUUAGUUUUGAGGCUAGAAGUUCAAUUAAUUUUUAUUUUGGACUCGUCGAGAAGUAUGAUUUUCGUUUUUGAAUCACUUGAUUUCGUUGAGUAUUAAAGAAGGUAUGAACGUUUAAAGUUUACCCAGUUUCCAGCGAGUUUUUCAGUUUUCCCUCGGACCAGUCAACUUUGAGACUAUUUUCCGGCCAUCUCUAGAAAUCAUUGGGCUUCCAAAUAGGUAUAAUUUUAUUCUACACUUUCUUAUCUUCAUUUUGAUAUAUUAUAGGUUGAAUUUGGCUAAGAAACGAUUGAGUUACGAAGUUUUCAAAAUUGCCCAAACUUCCGGCUAAAAGCUCUGGGACACUUAAUUGAGUUUUUAACGGAAUGAUCAAAAUGAUGGAUGGUGGACAAUCUCAGGGAUCACUUUUAUUGAUUUGGAAUGUUAUGAACCAAAGUGAUAAGUUAUACAAAUCACAGAGACCAUUUUAGCUAUUUAGCCAGUAGAAAAAUAAUUCAAAUCCAUAAUUCAUCCACGGACGUUUGCAACUUUUUGUUUGCUUGUUAUCAUGUCACAAACGACGCAAAAUGAUUGUCCUUGAAUUUGAAUUUGGGUAACCUUAAAUUUUCGUCCAAUUUCAAUAUUAUACCUCUCUCAAUUUUUAUAUACCAGCCGUCAAAUUUGAUUAAGUGAUAAAAUGAAAAGUUUGGAACUUAUAUUUUACUGAUUUGGAGUCCAAAUUUAUGCCACAAGUUAGAACAAAUUAAAAAAAAAGUUUUAUUAUUAAUAAUGUAUAAAUUAGAAAAUCAUCUGCAAGAUCAUUUAAUAUUUUAUUUAAAAUUUAAAAAAAAACAAACGAAGGAUUUUUAUCACAAAUGGUCCAUGAAAUUGAUCCCUCAAUCAUGAUGGUCUCUAAAAUUGAAAAUCGAUCAAUGUAAUCACUGAAUAUUAGUCCCGCAAAUCAAUGUCUUUCUGUCACUGUUCCGUCCAAACUAGCGUUAAGAGAUUUUUUGGAAUUAGAUAAGAUAUAUAUUUUUUCCCUGAUCUCAAGCAUUGUCUCUUCUACUACAUAUGCAUACAUAUAGAACUAUUUCCAAGUCAUGCUCCUUGGAAGAGCAAGCCAUUGAUGGUCACCUCGCCGUCGACGAUAAUAGUCUGCCCAGUAAUGUAAGAGGAUGCAGGUAGGCAUAGAAAUGCUACCAAGGAGGACAACCUCUGGCUUUCCAGGACGUCCUAAAGGUCACCGAGAGUUUAUCAUCUCCAAUUUCUUUUCAUUUCCGAGAAACUGCGUUUAUAGAAGAGAGAAUUGAUGUGUAGGACACAUAUAUUACAAGCGCUUCAUUAACAUAAUAAAUAAGGCUAGAAGUAUGAUCUAAACUCGCUGUAAACUUUUCAUCAAAAAACUUGUUGUAAACAAGUCAGGUCUAAAAUUGAACCUAUACAUGAAUAAACAAAAGAUAUAUUGAACGCGAUUUAAGAUGUUUAGAAUAACGGUAGCCGGCUAUCUAGGCAGCUUUGGAGGUGGUUAGCAUGUCAAUUAUGUAUCUCUAUGUCUUUUUCAGAUUCUCUGGUUGCUUUUUGGGAUGCCUACGUAAGCCCUUUUCCUAACAACUGCACAAUCUAUGGAUUUUUUCGAAUCUUUAUACUAUUUUGACUAUUUGGAAAUCUCAAAAUAGGUUUAUUUUUUAGGGUCACCCAAUCUAUUUUCAUCGGCUUUGCAUGUCUAUCAAUUUUGGGAUCGUUCAUGGUUGGAAGUUUAUUCCUACUUAUUCUCAAGGCACUAGUCUAUCCUUGGCAAGGCUUCAACUAGUCAUCCUGUGCUUUGGUCUUUCCUUGGAUUAAACUUAAUACAGAUGGUUUGUCCAAAGGAAAUUCCAGUCCUACUCCUUGUGGAGGAGUUUUCAAAGAUUGCCAUUGCACAACCCGUCUCGAUUUAUUUUACGGGUUUUACGGAACGGAAGGUUAGUCUCAUAAUUUCACUUUGGUUUUAAAAAUGUGUUUGAAAAGGGUUUCUUUUGGACCUUAAAUGGUGUGCCCAAGGGGGCCCACCCCUAAUUUUCUGUCCCUGAUUCCCCUUUCCCCCGCCUGCCACGUGGCAAACCCCUACCCACUUCAUUUCUCAUUCUCUUCUCCCCGAGCACUCACUCUCUCAGCUCUAUAUCACUCUCUUUCACACACUCAACCUCUCUCCCUCAUCCCGAUUCACUCACACAUCCACACACCCAAAUCAAGGAAAGCAACGGCGACGGCGACACCAUCACAUCCACCGUGGUAGCACUCUCCCUCAUAUCUGUGAAGAAACCGGACACCUAGAGGGCACCCAAACCAAGACUUCGGCGAGCCCAGUGGGUUUCGAGCAAUGAAUCGGCCACCUUCGGCCAUUCCACGAUGAUUAGGAGGUAACCAAUCUUUCCUUUUUGUCUCUAUUUCAUUUUGGUACCUAGAUCGAGUCUUAGGUGUGAGCAGCGACGUCGACCGAAACUCAAGAGGCUCCGGCUUCCUUCCCCAGCGAGAAUAGGUAGCCAAGGCCCUUGGGUCGAGGAAACUAAGGCCUUUGGCCCGCUAAAGCUUUAGCCCAAGACCAAAGGGUUUCAGCCUGUGAGCUUUAGACCCAAACCCUUUUUAUUUAUAUUUAUUUUGUUUUCUUUUAAAAACCCAAAAACAAUCGGGCUAGGUUUCAAGCCCAACCCAGCCCAUUUAAAAACCCCUUAACCUUUUUAGACCCUUGCCUUAGGGCCGUUUGAGAUUAGGUCUUUGGGCCUUUGCAUCCGAGCCCAAACCCUUUGAAGCAAGCUUUCAGGCCAUGUAGAAGUUGGGCCUUUGGGGCCUGUGUAAAUCGAACCCAACCCAGAGAGAGACAGGCCUUUGGGCCAUCCAACUUGGGCCUCCAGCUCGGUAGUCUUAAUCCCAACUCGAACCCAUGAACCAUUGAUCGACUCGGACCCGUUAACCGUUGACUGGUUCGACCGUUAACUUAGUCAACAUUGAUCGUUGACUUUGACUUUGGUUUGUUGACUUUUUCUGGUUUUGUUCAGAAACCUUCUAGGCUAAUUUCGACGUCCUAGAACCGUUUUUUAUGUCCGUUUUCCCAAAUUCAAUUGUUUGAAUAUAGUUUUAUUAAUUGGACCAUUUAUGUGCUUAGGGGCAAUUAUUUGUGGUGUUUCCAUCUUAACUAGUUUGCGUGGCUCUUCGGCAGCGAGGUAUCUGUGAUUGGACCCUUUCUAAAAUGCAUGUUUUAAUAGUAGAAAUGCAUACAUGAAAAAUAUGAUUUAAUGAUUAAGUUUUAUGAAAUGUUUUAUGAGAUAUUAUCUUACUGAGAAUAUAUUGAAUUAUCAUAUUUUAUCGAACUAAUGUUCUUUGUAGUAUAUAUGAUGGAUGACUAUAUACUGCUUACGAACAUGCUUUUACACACUUUUUUAUAGUAUAUAUGAUGGAUGACUAUAUGCUAUGAAGAUGAUUUUGAGAUAUAUGUAUUUAUAUUUUGGGAAAUACUAUACUCAAUGUUUUUGUGUGUAUCUAGUGGUCACUGUUCUACCUACGGGCAAUGAUACUUAUAUUGGCUUCGGCUGGGCGUAAGUUGGUGCCUGUUUGGCAAAUGUAGUGUUCUGAAGGAAAUGUUCUAAAUGAGGAGUUCUCUAUGCCUUCGGGCGAUAUUGAUACCACUAGUUAGCACAUUAUAUACGUGAUAUUUAAGGUUUUAUGGCAUGCUAGGGUUUCAGAAACCUAUUACAUAUUAUAUUAUUGAAUUUCCAUAAACCUUUAGGGGUUAGUAUGUUGAUAAUUAUUUCAUUCUUAUAUGUAUAUCAACUUGGUCCGCUCUUGUUUGUUUUGCACCCCCUCAGGACUUAGAUUUGAGGUGUAAAAUCCCGGCAUCAAGGCACUUCCGCAUCGGCAUCUUCAAGUCUUCUUGGUGUAGGACCCAUUCCUUCAUUCAUUUAAUUUUAUAUUAUUUCGUUGGUUUUUACAUUAAAGUGACGUGAAUUAGAAAUCUCAUUAAGAGGAAGUCUGGUUAAGACCAGCUGAAGAUCCGAAAUGACGAUGCCACUUUGUAACAUGUGUUUCCCUAGGAAUUGGGAGCAGAGUCGGAUCUUCAUCGGAAUGUUGGGAAAUGAAAAAAUCUUAGUGGUACGAGUUGGUUAAGACCAACUGGAAAUCUAAGCGGUGUUGGACUCUGCGACAUGUGUACCCUAGGAAUGGCGGGCAGAGUCAUAUCCUUAUGGAAAUUACUUGAAAGUUCGUGUUAGAGAAAAUGAGUAAACGCUAGUUGUUACGAAGUUUAGUAAAUGGUAGUUUGGUGGGAUUGAAUCAAUGUUCUUGGACUCGUUUCCACUGAGAAAAUUCUUGUGGAUCUUUAGAACAAUUCUCGGUGAUUGUUCUAUCAAUAACUUUCUUGCUUACUCCAAUAGCGAAGUCAAGUCCCCUAACCUUUGACUGUCAACUUCACAUCAAAUUAUUCGAACGUUGUUUUUUACUAGAGUAUAGAAAUGUCAACUGCACUAUUGUGUACCACCUCGAUUGUGCAAGCGUAGUUGCUGAAUACCUCGGUAGAAAAAACACACAAAGCUCAAAGGGGAUAUAGGUUGAAUGUUUUGGCUUCCUAAUAAUGAGGCAUGGUAGAUCAGCAGAGUAAUGCAAUUGCAUAUUGCGAUGAUUAACCAAAUAAUCAUAAACAGUGACUUCUAUUUUUGCAUCUUCACUUUCCUUGGUUAUUUGUUCCUCAAUGUAAAACUAGAUCAUACUGUCGUACUGAUGUUUUUUACUACCCUUCCCGCCAAGCCCAUUCUGAUCAUGUAAACCUAAUCGAACAAUUAUCUAGUAAGACCGUAUUGGAUUAGAAAACCUGAAAAGCCAAAUCUACUAAAAUCAUAUAAAUUUGUCAGGAGGUUCAAAACAUCAAAUUAUUUCACGAGUUGCUGGACGAAGUUGAUUGACAAGUUAUAUUAAUAGGUGUGUUUUUGUGGAUGCGUACGCCCAGUUUCAUAUCGAUUCAGACAGGAAUGUUAGGAGUGUAACCUUUUCACAAGCUUACCAGAAUUACCGGAAAGACUUCCAUGUAGAUGUGAGCUUUGAGUCGUCUUUUAGUAAGAGAAUGAUGAAGAUUAUAGCGCAGGUGGUCAGCGAAUUGCAUCAUCAAUCAUUAUCUUCACGCAUAAAUGAAUAGUCACCACUCAUUAUUUUGCUGCAAUUCAUGAACAUCAUAUCGUACUUUAGUAGUUCUUUCCCAAUGAUAUGAUGCCUAUGAAUUGUAGCAAGAUAAGGAGAUGUGUGCGCUUCAACGCAUCUUUCCAAUGUUUCACUCCAAGACCUUAUUGUUCUUGAGUACGUGGAUGUCAAAACACUUUUAGUAGAUUUGAUUGGUGCGCUCUGGAAUGGUACCACAUCACGGUCAAGGCGAGAAUCAAAUGAUCUUUUCACACUCUCAUGUUGCUGAGCAAAAUGGUAUUUUGGCACUUUUGGCGACAUGGUACGAGAACUUUUACAGGCAACACCUGUUGACAAAGGGAUUUUUGCGAACUUGUAUCUGGAGGAUCGAAUUUAUGAUGUGAGAAAUUAUGCACCCUUAAGAAAUCACUGCUUGCUUACUGAGACAAUAAUGGGUGGUUGAUAUCGUGGGGAGCUGACUGUGAUAUCGAUAGCUUAUUCGUUGGAUCCGUUAAGCAUGUGGGCAGGUAGACCCAUCUACGGUAGAUAUUACUGAGUAGUCAUCGUUGGGGCUCGACCCAAAGACAAUUUUUCUCGUGGUACAUGACGUUACAUAUACGUGGGUGAAACCCACUUUCAUUUUCGGUUUUGGUUUUUAGUACAAGUAUUUUAACUUACAUAUUAUAGUUGUACGUGUUUUCUGAAGUUAAACAAAAAUUGGUCGAGUUAUUUCCACUUUCACUGUUGAGUUCAAUACGAAUUAUUCGACCUCUAUGUUAUUACUUAUCUAUUUUGACGUUAUCAUAUUUUGCAUACUUAUUUUUGAUGUUUUCGACUUUAUAUCUUUAUAAAGUAUGUUUUCUACUUUUACACUGAUGGGGAAAGAAAGUAUGAGCCUGGAGGCACGAAAGAUGGAAUCAUUGCAACCUGAUCACGAUGGUGUGGCAUUUUCCCUUUUCUACAACUGCUCUGACUUGAUUUCUUCUAUACAUAUAUAUUUUCUUCUCCCUAUUUUCAAGUUUUUUAGUGUAGCAAGUUAUUUUAAAUUUCGUGACAAAAUUUUAUUUAAUGGGGGUAGAUUAUGACAACCCGUCUCAAUUUAUUUUGUGAGUUUUACGGAACGGAAGGUUAGUCUCGUAAUUUCACUUUGGUUUUAAAAAUGUGUUUGAAAGAGGUUUGUUUUGGACCUUAAAUGGUGUGACCAAUGGGGACCACCCUUAAUUUUCUGUCCCCGGUUCCCUUCUUCCCCACUUGCCACUUGGCAGAUCCCUACCCAUUUCCUUUAUCUUCUCCUCGAGCACUCACUCUCUCAGCUCUCUAUCACUCUCUCUCACACACUCACCCUCUAUCCCUCAGACUAUUUCCCUCACCCUAAUUCACUCACACAUCAACACACCCAAAUCAAGGAAAGCAACGACGACGGCGACACCACCACAUCUACCAUGGUAGCAUUAUCCCUCUCCCUCGUCUCUGUGAAGAAACGGGACACCUAGAGGGCACCCAAACCCAGACUCCAGCGAACCCAAUUGUUUUGAGCAAGGAAUUGGCCACCUCCGACUAUUCCACGAUGAUUAAGAGGUAACAAUUUUUUCCCUUUCGUCUCUAUUUCAUUUUGGUACCUAGAUCGAGUCUUAGGUGUAAGCAACAAUGUCGACCGAAGCUUGGGAAGCUCCGGCCUCCUUCCCUAGCAAGAACAGGUAGCCAAGGCCCUUGGGCCGAGGAAUCUAAGGCCUUUGGCUUGCUAAACCCUUAGCCCAUGACCAAAGGGUUUCGGCUCGUGAGCUUUAAACCUAAACCCUUUUUAUUUUUAUUUAUUUUGUUUUCUUUUAAAAAUCCAAAAACAAUCGGGUCAUGCUUCAAGCCCAGCCCAAUUGAAAACCCUUUAAUCCUUUCGAACCUAGGCCUUAGGGUCGUGUGGGAUUUGGACUUUGAGCCUUUGCAUCAGAGCCCAAACCCUUGUAGCCCCAAACCCUUUAAAGCAGGCUUUUGGGUCGUGUGGAAGUUGGGCCUUUAGGGCACGUGUAAAUCAAACCCAACCCAAAGAGAGGCAGGCCCUUGGGCCUCCGACCCGGUAGCCUGAAGCCCAACCCGGUUCGACCCGAAAUCGUUGACAGACCCGGACCCGUUGACUGUUGACUUUGACUUUGACCGGUCAAAGUGGACUUUUUGUUGACUUUUUCGGGUUUUGUUUAGGAACCCUCCUAGGUUAAUUUCGACAUCCUGGAUCCAUUUUUGACAUUUGUUUUCCCAAAUUCAAUCGUUUGAAUAGAGUUUUAUUAAUUGGACCCUUUAUGUGCUUAGGGGUAAUUAUUUGUGGUGUUUUUGUCUUCUUUAGUUUGCGUGGCUUUUCGACGGUGAAGUAUCUGUGAGUGGACCCCUUUUUAAAAUGAAUGUUUUAAUAGUAGAAAUGCACACAUGACAAGCAUGAUUUAAUGAUUCAUUUUAUGAAACGUUUUAUGAGAUAUUAUGCUUACUAAGAAUAUUUUGAAUUAUCAUAUUUUAUCGAACUGAUGUUCUUUGUAGUAUAUAUGAUGGAUGACUGUAUACUGCUUACGAACAUGCUUUUACACACUUCUUUAUAGUAUAUAUGAUGGAUGACUAUAUGCUAUGAAGAUGAUUUUGAGAUAUAUGUACUUAUAUUUGGGGAAAGACUAUAUUCAAUGUUUUUGUGCGUAUCUAGUGGUCACUGUUUUGCCUACGCUCAUCUUUCUCCUUUUACCAUACUUUAAACAUACAAACUCCAUAGUCGCUGCCCUUCCUCCUACUGGAGGCCGGUGGCAAUCCCUCUCCCCAUUUUGCUAGCCUCCCUCUUUUAUCUUCUCAUAGAUUGUGACUUAUCUAUUUUUUGUCUAAGUAUUUUUGUCAAUAAAUAUCUCCUUGUUGAGAUUUUUUCAGUCCUUCUUCAUGAUUAUUUUAAUUUUGUGUUCGUAUGUUAUUGGCUUCUUCUGUGCAACUUUGUUGAAAUUGGUUCAUUGAUUGUGUUGCACACAAAAUUAGCUUUUAAUCUGCUAUAAGGUGUUCGUCUAAAAGUGAUAUUUUUUUUUUUUAAAGAUUUGAAUGAAUUUUUAACUAAUUAUAAACAAUAUAUGAUACUUUUCAAAAUUUUAAUAGAAGUCGAAAUCUAUAUAAGGAAAUUAACUAUAAGCACCGUCUUAUUUGGCAGCUCGGACUGUACUGACUAUUUCUAUUAGAUAUGAUAAAUAGCCACCAGAUAGUACUGAGUAAAUUAGUCGAGUGUUUGGUGUAGUAUCAGACUAAUAACCGUAUUAUUUAUACUGUGUUUGAUUUUAUACCGGAUAGGAGGAAUCAAACUUAAAAAAAAAAAAAUUAAACUUAAAAAACAAAACAGAAACCAUCACUUUUGUUCCCAGAUCUCUCCGCCGCACCCCUCAAACUCCCUCAAUCUCUCUCCCUUCUUCUUCUUCCCCGACUACAGAAGAAUCCCAAAUAAUUGUUCCCCAAAUCUCUUUGUCGCACCCCCCCCAAACUCCCUCCCUCUCUCUCCUUUCUUCUUCCCCGAUUGCAGAAGAAUCCCAAAUAAAUUCAAACAGCCAGUUGCGGAAGAAUCCCAAAUUGAAAUCAUCUCUCCGCCGCACCAUGUUUCUUUGCAAGACCCAGUUGCAGGGGAGAACAACGAGUAGGCAAUGAGGAAGGCCACAAGGAGACGAGGACUAGGAGAGCAAAGAUGGCGAGAGAAAGUGACGGCGACAGAAAACAACGGUGAGAGAAAGCGACGGGGAGGACGGCGAUGGUGAAAGAAGGUGACGGGGAGGACGAUGACGCCGAGAGAAGGAGAGAGAGAGAGAAGGCCAACUAAUAAUCCGAGCAUUUUGGUUGGUUUUAUUAAUCCGACGUAUACUGUGUUAAAUAAACAGACCAGUUAAAUUAAUCUGGCGCUUAUUUAGUACGAGUGAACGCCAAACACCCACGUCUGUAUAACUAGUCCUAUUCGAUCCUUUAUCCGAUCUGCCAAACAGGGCCUUAGUGGCAGAAUAUAUAGAUGCAACAUCUAUUGAGACCACACCAGCAGUAGGGGACAAAAAAAAAACAAUGUUAGCAGCUCGUGCAGCUUUGAGAAGAGGAUGAAAGUUGGCACAAGAGGUAAGCAGAUUCAAGAUUGGUUAUGAAUGAGUAAUCCUCAGCAGUGUACUCUAGAGUUGCUUUCGGUAUGACAAUCCCCACGUUGUUUAUAUAUAACAAGACAUUAUUGAAAAGGUUUAGCAUAACAUAACGAUUUUACCUUAUAUGUAUUAUUGAAAAAUGCAAGAAAAUUAUGUGUAUUAAACAUAAAAAGUACAUACAUACGUGUAGAUCUUUGAGUUUUAAAAAACAUACAAUUUUACGAAUUAAUGAAAUUUGAAACGUGUACAACAAACAAAUUUAUUUACGAGGGGAUGUUAAGUUUGUUAUGGAAGUGUGAUGAUGAUUCGUGAUUCAUGCACAUAUGUUAUUUUAACUAAUUAGUCUUCUACCUACAAGGAUGUUGAGUUUGCCAUCAGAAAGUGAUGAGACCUUGUUUAUAAGCUCCUCUCUUUGGGUUUUUGACUUGAAGACAGAUCCGGCCUCGGGAGUUGCGAUGGACCUUGUUUAUAAGCUCAUCUCUUGGCUGAAUGGAAGUAUUGACCAAGGCAACUGGGAGGUUUUCCAGACCAAGUGGGAGAUUUGUUGAGAAGGUGCGGAUUUCAGUUUGUGUGAAUGGUCUUGGGUACCGAGAUCAGCCAAUAGAGCGGCGGAUUUUGUGGUGUCGCAUGUUGGAGCGGAGAUAUGCGACUUAGUCUGGGUUCAACGACCCCCAUCUUCGUUUAUUCGGAAUCUGAACAAGGAUGGUCUACCCUGCCCUCCAACUUAGCUUUUGUUAGAUGUGAUUAAGGUGACAUUGGGGGGGGGGGGGGGGUGCAUACGUGUCGUAGUUUUUCCCUUAGUCCCGUUUAUUUCUGAUGUUGUUUGCCCAAGGUGGCUUUCUGUACUCCUAUUUGGCUUUGGCCCUAGUGAAUGAUAUUUUCCGAUUAUUCAAAAAAAAAAAAAAAAACACACUAUGCAAAUUGAUUGUCCAAUUUGAAUUUGACUAAAUUAUAUUUCAUCCAUUUUCAACAUCGUACAAUGUCUUUCUAUUUCGUACAACUUCUUAUUCAAUCAUUACACGAUGGUCCAGUAGUUUAGGACGAAUUCUAAACUCGUAUUCGAUAAAACUCGUUCUGAAUUUGAUUCAUAACACUGGUGAAUCAUACACUAUAAUUUUGGAGCUAGAAAACAAAUGGAAAGUAUUAGAGAGUGGGAGAGAACUUUGUGUUUACAGUACCACGUCCAGAAUGAGAUCGAUGUCAUUUUGGUUAAUUUUUUAGCAAAUACUACAUUUUCUUAAUGCAAUCUUGUUAAUGGUAACAUAAUGAGUUUAAUGCUCACAAGAUCUCAAAAAUUGCAUAGCAUGUUAUUCUUCCACAAACAGUUCAAGUACUUUUUAAACCAAACACAUUUUAAACUAUUUUUAAUUAACAUUGUCAUGUUUGCAAGCGCUUUAGUUAUUUAAAAGCAUUUUGAAUUGGAAACGGGCCCUACAACAAGCUAGACAUAUGAAGUUUUGAGAAUACUUGAUGAGCAAGUUGUCCAAACCACAUUUAUGUAAUCUUUGGAGGGUUCAGUUGAUGGUGCUUAAAGCGUUUUUCUGACAUCUCUCAUCUAAGUUCACCUCACAACUUAAAAUAAUUAUUUUUUAAUUUUUAAUUGCAUGAAAAGAAAAAAAAAGGGACAUAUUAUUACAUGAAACAUAAUAAGAUUCCUAUCUUAAUUUUUUUUCUAAGAACAAAAAAAAAACCUUGUAUCGUUGACCAUUGAUAGAGACAUGCCGUCCAGUAAUCCAGAAAAUUAAUUUUAUGGAAAACUAAUGAAAAUAGCUUGAAAACUUUGAGUUUUAAAGAUAAGGACAAAAUAAAGAAAAAAGUGAAUAGUACAAGGAUUGACUUUUUAAUGUAAAAAUAUGAUUUUUCGUUAAAGUGAAUAGUACCACUGGCUUUUCAUUAAAACUCCCUUAAUUUUAUGAUCGGCUUUGUAAGGAAAGCGAGGAUGUGCGAUGCUUCUUGAGGAGUUUUGUUGUUUGUCAAUAAAAUCUAUUUAUUUGAAUUUCCUGCUUCUAGUACUACCUACUGCUUGAAGUUUGAACAUAUUAUAGAAGCAUUUUUUAUUGUUCUAAUCGUACAUGUAGAUCAUUUCCAAUGAACUGGCAAUCUUGGUGUGUUGUUUGAAGGAUGUUGGAGUCUUCUCUUCAUCCCGUUUUGGGGUUGUCUUCGGCCGAUCUCAGGCAUCUAUUGAGGGCGAUGGUUUGAGAUGGUGGGUUGGUGGCGUUUUGGCAGUGGUGGAGUAGCAAGUUGCUAGGAUUUGUUGCGGUUUUUUCUUUUGUGGUGAGCUCAAACCUUUGUUUUGGGCCAUUUUUGCGUUACUCUGAAGGUCUACAUCCACGCUGUGUGCUUAAUGUAAUUGGAUCUCUUUCUUUGUAAUUUUGUUGUCUUGGCAAAAAUUUUACCCUAAAAAAAAUCUAGGCUUGAAAGCUCUUCCAAUAUAGCGAAACUAAACGUCAAUAGACCAAAUGUUUGACAAUCUUUUAUUUUCUGAUUUAAUUAGAACAUUAAUGAUGUCACCAGUUUUCACAUACAAUAAAAGCACACCACUUUGGAAUUACUAGAUACGAGAUUUUUUUUUUUAGAACUGUUUCCAAGUUAUGCUCCUUGGAAGAGCAAGCCAUUGACAGUCACCCCGCCGUCGACGAUAAUAGUUUGCCCAGUAAUGUAAGAGGCUGCAGGUAGGCAUAGAAAUGCUACCACGGAAGACACCUCCUCUGGCUCUCCAGGACGUCCUAAGGGGCACCGAGAGUUUAUCAUCUCCAAUUUCUUUUCAUCUCGGAGAAACUGCGUGCAUAGAAGAGAUAAUGGAUGAAACGAGAAUGAAUGUGUAGGACACAUAUAUUACCGAUGAUCUUAAUAAUUGGUCAAGCUCUUCGUAAACAAAUUAAUUAAGACUAGAAGUAUGAUGUAAACUUGCUGUCAACUUUUCACCAAAAAUCUUGCUGUAAACAAGUCAGGUCUAAAAUUGAACCUAUACUUGAAUAAACAAAAGACAUGGACUUUUGGCAAACCCCAACUUUUUAUUCUAAUUUUGCCUAUGGACUUUUGGCAGUCUCAUCAAUGAAAUACUGAUUGGCUUAAAGUUAUGAGAUGAUUGUAAUACAAGUAGUUAAAAGAAUUCACUCAUAUAUCUUAAAUUCAAUUUCGAUUUUCCUUCCAGAACAUCGAUUGUAUUAGAAAAAAUGAAAAUAAACAGCAUGCACAAGAACGUGACCAGGAUAAUCUUACAGGUUCAACGAGGGGAGUCGUGAUGAACCAAGGUGCCACACUGUUGGUCCUUAUGUUAUCUUUCGCCCACUCACAUGCCAAGUUUUUUGCUAACUGAUUCAUUGCACCUGAUGAGAUACAAUAAGGAAAAGCCACACUUUUGUCAAACAUUAAAAAUCACACACCAAACAAUGUAAUCAAAUUUUAGGGGUUUCUCGUCUCAACCUCUUAUGGUUUAAAAAAAAUAAAAAAAAAUAAAAAAAAAACUAGCUGCUCCUCUUUCUCCUCUUACCAAACCCUAAAUCUUCAAACUUCAUAGUCGCCAGCCUCUUGCUCCGACUGGAGGCAGUGGCAAGCCCUCUGCUCAUUUUUCUAGCCUGUCUCCUUCAUCUUCUUAUCGAUUGUUGCUUAUUUAUUUUUCAUCUUAGCAUUUUUGUCGAUAAGUGUCUCCUUGGUGAGGUUUUUUGUGAGUAUUUCUUCGUGAGUGUAUUAAUUUUGUAUUGGUGUGUUAUCGGCUCCUUUUGUGUCUACUUUGUUAACACGAAAUUCAUGUUGUGCACAAAAUUAGCUUUUAAUCUUAUAUAAGGUAUUAGUCUAAAAGUGAUAAGGAUUUGAAUGAAGUUUUUUUUUACAAAUAAUAAACAAAAUAUGUUUUAUUUUAUUUUAUUUUAUUUUAUAAAGGUCAAAAUUACAUAGGGAAAUUAACUAAGCACCUUUAGUGGCAGAAUAUAUAGAUCCAACACCUGCUGAGACCACACCAGCAAUAGAGGACAAAAAAACGAUGUUAGCAACUCCUGAAGCUUUGAGAAGUGGAUGUGUAAGUUGGCACAAGUUGUAAGCAGAUUCAAGAUUGGUCUCAUUAUGAAUGAGUAAUCUUCAGCUGUGUACUCCAGCGUUGCUUUCGGUACGACAGUCCCCACAUUGUUUAUCUAUAACAAGACAUUAUUGGAAAGGUUUAGCAUAAUAUAACAAUUUUAGCUUAUAUGUAUUAUUAAAAAAUGCACGAAACGUGUACAUCUUUGAGUUUUAACAAACCUACAAUUUUACGAAUUAUUGAAACGUCUACAACAAAAAGAAAUAUUUACGAGGAUCUUAAGUUUGCCAUGAAAGAGUAAUGAUGAUUAAUGAUUCAUGCAUAUGUGUUAUUUCAAUUGAUCAGUCAUUUACUUACAAAAAUGUUAAGUUUGCCAUCAAAGAGUGAUGAGACCUUGUUUAUAAGCUCCUCUCUUUGGGUUUUAGACACCACAUCACAGACUGAGCCAGUGACUUGAAAACCCUUCUUCUCCCACUGACUCAGGCAGUCAUUAAGGUCAACUUCAUUUCGGGAACAAGUAUGCACAAUCGCACCCAGCCCUGCCAAUUCCUCCACUAUCGCAUACCUAAAUAAAUACUAAACUAAUUUAACAAACAGCAGUAAAAAAAUAAUUCAAACCCAUAAUUCUAAAAGAGAAGAAAACAUGGGAUAAGUGGAGAAAUAAAAUGAAUAUUGCAUUGCAUGUAUAGGAAAAUUGAAACUAAAAGAAGAUUAAUGUUCUUGAG
This 18169-nucleotide long non-coding RNA is filed under the name Malus domestica (apple). Its description in RNAcentral is "long non-coding RNA (MDOM_LNC010038)". Lineage: Eukaryota; Viridiplantae; Streptophyta; Magnoliopsida; Rosales; Rosaceae. The record is from RNAcentral.